This 451-nucleotide ribosomal RNA is filed under the name uncultured bacterium. Its description in RNAcentral is "partial 16S ribosomal RNA". It matches the Rfam family "Bacterial small subunit ribosomal RNA", at positions 354 to 796 of the family's 1533-position model. The record is from RNAcentral.
GUGAGGAAUCUUGCGCAAUGGGGGAAACCCUGACGCAGCAACGCCGCGUGAGUGAGGAAGGUCUUCGGAUCGUAAAGCUCUGUCAGUUGGAAAGAAAUGUCUGAGAGUCAAUCCCUUUCAGGCUUGACGGUACCAACAGAGGAAGCACCGGCUAACUCCGUGCCAGCAGCCGCGGUAAUACGGGGGGUGCAAGCGUUGUUCGGAAUUAUUGGGCGUAAAGAGCGUGUAGGCGGCCGGAUAUGUCAGAUGUGAAAGCCCCGGGCUUAACCCGGGAAGUGCAUUUGAAACUGUCCGGCUCGAGUAGGGGAGAGGGAAGUGGAAUUCCUGGUGUAGAGGUGAAAUUCGUAGAUAUCAGGAGGAACACCGGUGGCGAAGGCGACUUCCUGGCCCUAUACUGACGCUGAGACGCGAGAGCGUGGGUAGCAAACAGGAUUAGAUACCCGAGUAGUCC